AGACCGUGGUGUGGAAAACAUAUCAAUAAGUCCUUGUACCUCUCCCAAACAUCACACAUGCUCUCGUCGUCCAUCUGCAGAAAAGAAGAAAUAUGAUUUCUCAAUUU
This 107-nucleotide small nucleolar RNA is filed under the name Ricinus communis (castor bean). Its description in RNAcentral is "Plant small nucleolar RNA R71". It matches the Rfam family "Plant small nucleolar RNA R71". Rfam says of the family: R71 is a member of the C/D box family of snoRNAs containing the C (UGAUGA) and D (CUGA) box motifs. The record is from Rfam by way of RNAcentral. Lineage: Eukaryota; Viridiplantae; Streptophyta; Magnoliopsida; Malpighiales; Euphorbiaceae.